AUUGAACGCUGGCGGAAUGCUUUACACAUGCAAGUCGAACGGCAGCACGGACUUCGGUCUGGUGGCGAGUGGCGAACGGGUGAGUAAUGUAUCGGAACGUGCCCAGUCGUGGGGGAUAACGUAGUGAAAAUUACGCUAAUACCGCAUACGAUCUAUGAAUGAAAGCGGGGGAUCGCAAGACCUCGCGCGAUUGGAGCGUCCGAUAUCAGAUUAGGUAGUUGGUGGGGUAAAGGACCACCAAGCCAACGACCUGUAGCUGGUCUGAGAGGACGACCAGCCACACUGGAACUGAGACACGGUCCAGACUCCUACGGGAGGCAGCAGUGGGGAAUUUUGGACAAUGGGCGAAAGCCUGAUCCAGCCAUUCCGCGUGCAGGAUGAAGGCCCUCGGGUUGUAAACUGCUUUUGUACAGAACGAAAAGGUUUCUACUAAUACUAGGAGCUCAUGACGGUACUGUAAGAAUAAGCACCGGCUAACUACGUGCCAGCCGCCGCCGUAA
RNAcentral lists this ribosomal RNA (500 nucleotides) under uncultured bacterium. Its description in RNAcentral is "partial 16S ribosomal RNA". It matches the Rfam family "Bacterial small subunit ribosomal RNA", at positions 30 to 523 of the family's 1533-position model. The record is from RNAcentral.